CCUACGGGUGGCAGCAGUGAGGAAUAUUGGUCAAUGGACGAGAGUCUGAACCAGCCAAGUAGCGUGAAGGAUGACUGCCCUACGGGUUGUAAACUUCUUUUAUAUGGGAAUAAAACGUUCCACGUGUGGGAUUUUGUAUGUACCUUAUGAAUAAGGAUCGGCUAACUCCGUGCCAGCAGCCGCGGUAAUACGGAGGAUCCGAGCGUUAUCCGGAUUUAUUGGGUUUAAAGGGAGCGUAGGUGGAUUGUUAAGUCAGUUGUGAAAGUUUGCGGCUCAACCGUAAAAUUGCAGUUGAAACUGGCAGUCUUGAGUACAGUAGAGGUGGGCGGAAUUCGUGGUGGAGCGGUGAAAUGCUUAGAUAUCACGAAGAACUCCGAUUGCGAAGGCAGUUCACUGGACUGCAACUGACACUGAGGCUCGAAAGUGUGGGUAUCAAACAGGAUUAGAUACCCUAGUAGUC
This 460-nucleotide ribosomal RNA is filed under the name uncultured bacterium. RNAcentral's name for it is "partial 16S ribosomal RNA". It matches the Rfam family "Bacterial small subunit ribosomal RNA", at positions 338 to 795 of the family's 1533-position model. The record is from RNAcentral.